Molecule: ribosomal RNA, 468 nt
Filed under: uncultured bacterium
Lineage: Bacteria
Description: partial 16S ribosomal RNA
Rfam family: Bacterial small subunit ribosomal RNA
Source: RNAcentral
GACGAACGCUGGCGGCGUGCUUAACACAUGCAAGUCGAACGGAAAGGCCCUGCUUUUGUGGGGUGCUCGAGUGGCGAACGGGUGAGUAACACGUGAGUAACCUGCCCUUGACUUUGGGAUAACUUCAGGAAACUGGGGCUAAUACCGGAUAGGAGCUCCUGCUGCAUGGUGGGGGUUGGAAAGUUUCGGCGGUUGGGGAUGGACUCGCGGCUUAUCAGCUUGUUGGGGUGGUAGUGGCUUACCAAGGCUUUGACGGGUAGCCGGCCUGAGAGGGUGACCGGCCACAUUGGGACUGAGAUACGGCCCAGACUCCUACGGGAGGCAGCAGUGGGGAAUAUUGCACAAGGGGCGGAAGCCUGAUGCAGCAACGCCGCGUGCGGGAUGACGGCCUUCGGGUUGUAAACCGCUUUCGCCUGUGACGAAGCGUGAGUGACGGUAAUGGGUAAAGAAGCACCGGCUAACUACGUG